Molecule: ribosomal RNA, 330 nt
Filed under: uncultured eukaryote
Lineage: Eukaryota
Description: partial 18S ribosomal RNA
Rfam family: Eukaryotic small subunit ribosomal RNA
Source: RNAcentral
CCCUUAGAUGUCCUGGGCCGCACGCGCGCUACACUGAUGCAUGCAACGAGUAUAUAACCUUGGCCUGAAAGGCCUGGGUAAUCUUUUGAACGUGCAUCGUGAUAGGGAUAGAUUAUUGCAAUUAUUAAUCUUGAACGAGGAAUUCCUAGUAAACGCGAGUCAUCAGCUCGCAUUGAUUACGUCCCUGCCCUUUGUACACACCGCCCGUCGCACCUACCGAUUGAAUGAUCCGAUGAAUAUCAUGGAUUGAGGAUGCAAGCAGGUUCGCCUGUCUUCAUCUUCGAGAAGUGAAGUAAAUCUUAUCAUUUAGAGGAAGGAGAAGUCGUAACA